UGCUUGGAGAAGAAAUUUUUGGUGAUGGGCGACGUUGGAUAAGAGUGGAGGAGGGUGGGAGAGUAUUUAUUCUCUUUUCUUCUACGGUACAAUCUCUUAUUUGAUCAAAUAUAUAUUGUUUUGUUUUUUUUUUUAACUAAUAAGAAUUUGUUAAUCACAUCAUCACUUACUCCUAGGCCAUGAAAACUUAUUCCGAAGCUUGAUUCUCCUCAAAAUAUAAAGAUUUCAAGAAACUCUUAGGGCGCUUAAUCAUGAAUUUCAACUAUAUAUAUAUAUAUAUAUAUAUAUGGGUUUUUUUUAUUGAACAAUUUUACAAUAUUGGUGAACUUGUGGCAUUUUCGUUUUUGACAGGAAAAAAGCAGAUGGUGUUGAAAGAAGAGAGAUGUGAACUUGGCAUUUUCAACUUGGCUAAAUUAUAUGAACUAGUAUAUACACAUGAAUUUGAGAAAGACAUCCCGGGUACUCCAAGUAUUUGCCUAAAAUUUCCCUGCCAAUUACCAACUUGUCUUUCUUUCUUGAAAGAUUAUGUAAACUUUAAGAAAAAAAAUGUAUAAUAGGGAGUGACUAGCCAAGUGCUUAUAUAUAUAUAUAUAGUAG
RNAcentral lists this long non-coding RNA (597 nucleotides) under Durio zibethinus. Its description in RNAcentral is "long non-coding RNA (DZIB_LNC001238)". The record is from RNAcentral. Lineage: Eukaryota; Viridiplantae; Streptophyta; Magnoliopsida; Malvales; Malvaceae.